This 253-nucleotide ribosomal RNA is filed under the name uncultured bacterium. RNAcentral describes it as "partial 16S ribosomal RNA". It matches the Rfam family "Bacterial small subunit ribosomal RNA", at positions 524 to 776 of the family's 1533-position model. The record is from RNAcentral.
UACGUAGGGGGCAAGCGUUGUCCGGAUUUAUUGGGCGUAAAGAGCGUGUAGGCGGCUUUACAGGUCCGUUGUGAAAACUCGAGGCUCAACCUCGAGACGCCGGUGGAAACCGUAAGGCUAGAGUCCGGAAGAGGAGAGUGGAAUUCCUGGUGUAGCGGUGAAAUGCGCAGAUAUCAGGAAGAACACCCGUGGCUAAGGCGGCUCUCUAGUACGGUACUGACGCUGAGACGCGAAAGCGUGGGGAGCAAACAGG